UAUAUUAUCAGAGUAGCGACAACUGGGGAUUUGAAGCCAUUUUUGUUUCCAUUCACUCAAUAUGGGACGCGCAGCGCGAGGUGCACAUUCAUGAAAGCUAGCUAUUUGUGGAUUGUUUACUGAUUCCAAGACAUGUUUUGGACAAAAUAUUUUACUGGCUUGUUGUGUCUGGAUGUCCAAGGUUGGAUUAUGGCCUUUUUGUGGAAUAUUUUCAUCUGUGACUUGUUAUGAGGAUUCAAAGGAGCACAACAGAGAAGCUCAAAUCUACCCAACGACAGAUGAGCAUGGAUGAGAUGAAGCUGAAACAAGAGUGUGUUACCAGCUGGAACUCCACCUUCCAAAUGCUACAACAGAUUGUGGACUCCAAGGAUGCCGUCAUCUCCAUCCUGACUGUUAUCAAAGCACCUGUUGAUCCUCUGAGUCCAGAGGAAUGGGAGGUUCUGCAGGAGGCCAUGAGAGCAGGUCACUGUGGAGAUCAGUGCAGACAGCCUCUAAAAUGUUAAUCCUGUGUUCUGCAGAGACUUCCAGCUGACCAGCAGACCAGAGGAAACACAUUGAAAGUGAAGGAGUUAGUGGCUGCUCUUUGAUCAUCCAUGGAAAGAAAAUUCCACAGAUUGGAAUAUAACACUGUUCUGUCAGAAACCUCCCUUCUUGGCCCAAGAUUCAAAAAGCUGUCCUUCAGUGACAGCAGAGCGGUUGAUGAAGCUCUUCAGAGAAUAACUGCAGCAGCAGAAAGAUCCAACCAGUCAACUCCACUACAGCAGAACACGGACAAGAGGAACCACAAGCAUCUGCUGUUUGGAGGUUCUUUGAAGAACAAGCAACUUGUGACACUACAAGAAGGAAUCCAUCAGCAGAUGGAAUGCUGGAAGAAUGAUCAUAAAGAAGUGUUGGUUGGAGUCCAAGAGUUCAGUCUACCUAGUGUUAAGGGACCAACAAAGAAAUUAUUUUAUUAAUUGUGUAAAGGUGUAAACAUUAUUUGUUUAGCGAGAGACAGUACUUCUAUAUCCUAAGAAAGUACCAGAAAUGCACAGAAAGUAGCUUUAAAUACAUUUCUGAAGGGAAACAACAGUGCGCUGUAUACUGUACAAUAGAAUGGAAAAUUAUAAAACUCAGCUAUAAAAUACUAGUCUUCUCAUGUCUUUUGAAUCAUUGCUUCGACCCACAAGAUACAUAACCUGCAACGACAAUAACAAGAAUAAAAUGAAAUAAUAGAUAUAAAACAAAGAUAUGAAGAACAUAUUAAACUCUAACAUAUGUAGGACAGUAUGCAAGCAAGUGGGUGUAACCUGCCUAAAGAAGGAUUAAAUAAUAAUUUGUAUUCAUUUCUGACCAUUGUUUCUUUACACCUUACAUUUAUAAGUACUGUGAGUUUUAUUUUGAAAAUAGGAACUUUAUUUUGGGUGAUACCGGAGGUAGUAUGCAAAAAUAUUCGCCGCAGCUUAACAUCGCUAAAUCAUGGACUGAUCACUGCUUCUGUUUCUCCUGUGAGGGUUAAAAACGAGAGUAAAAGGUGUGAAAACCUGCUUGUCUUGCACAAAAACAAAGAAAUUAUUUAGUAAAUGAUAUAAACUGAUUGAAAUUCCACUCUAGAAGUUAGAGAACCAUUGAAGAAACACUUAAUUGUCCAAAACCACCUUCUUGGUAAGCUAGUUCCUGCAUGUUCCUAAUGAGUGUGUCUGUGGAAAUACCACGAGGUGACCAUGCUAGCUGCAAUUAAGGGUGUGUUGCACAUUUUAUGUUGUUUUUGAAGAAUGUAAUGAACUAAAAAGCAUUUAGUUGAUGGUUUGAGUUCAUAUUGAUCCGUCCUUUAUCGCUAUAAUAAGCACAUUGUGAGACUUUUACACGGUGAAGUGCCGAGUCACCUUCCUAUGUGACUGAAGGUUAAAGAUAUACUCAGUAGAAAGUAAUAGUGAUCAUACAGUUGCUCUUCAUUGUAAUUACAGUUGGUUAAAAUGGUAUAUUCUGACACUAUGAAACAUUUAUUGUCAAAAUAACGCUGGUUAUCUACGUGUAAACUAUAGUAUUUUGUUUUCCUAAUAAAAAAGAUAGAUUUUAAUGUUGUACAACACUUUGAAUGAAUCUCAUUGGAUAAUAUUCCAUCAGAACCUGGACUAUAGAGCUGUUCUGUAAAUACAGGUCAGGUCUUAUUUGAUGGGAGGAAAAAGUGAAGCUCCAGUCCUGGUGUCCAACGAGGCUGAGCAGAGAUCCAGUUGAUGGAGAGCCUCCCAGUCCAACUUUGAGCCUCCACCACACCAUUCAGAGGAUUCUGUGGUAGGAUUGUGUCAGUCCUACUGACCGACACCAACCAGAGUCUACUUUGGAUACUUUUCUCUGACUUUGACUUCCCCCUGACUUAUUGACCUGAACUUUGAUUGGAUCCACAACAAACCAGUUCCAGAGAAACAUCUUCAAAUGAACAUUUUAUUUUUUUCUUAGUUCAUUGGGCCCAUCGGUGUUGCAUUGUAAUUAUGUUAUAAACUGUUCAAAUAGUUUGUCAGAACUAAGAAGUUCACAGUAACAACUUCUAUCUGUGUCCUGUGGUUAUUGCUAUUACUCCUAGCUCCUACCAACCUAGGUAGCAACGUGUACAGACCCAGAAGUGGGUUACAUGUGCAUGGACUUUACAGAUGUAUUUCUCACAUGUGCAGCACAUGAUAUUUGUUUUAACCCUGAAAACUGCACUGAUGGCUUCAGCAAAGAGAGAACUGGUGGUGCUGUCAUCUGCAGCACCUUUAUAGCCUCUGAACUCAUUCCUCGUUAGUAAACGAUGCUUUCUCAUGCUUUCUGCGGGGCAUUAAAAAUCAUUAAAUUGAAUUCUCAGUGGCAUUAAAAAUGAU
Molecule: long non-coding RNA, 2840 nt
Organism: Acanthochromis polyacanthus (spiny chromis)
Lineage: Eukaryota; Metazoa; Chordata; Actinopteri; Pomacentridae
Exons: 3
Source: RefSeq, a predicted model, not a curated record